AGAGACCAAUAUGACACAGAAAUUAACAACUAUAGUUCACCGUACGACCUUCAACAACGAACAAAACCCAUACCGCAUACUCAGCUUUAAAAGGCCCCGAACUGACAAUGUAAAACAAUUCAAACCAGAAAACUAGCGGCCUUAUUUAUGUACAAAAAAUGAACGAAAAACAAAUAUGUAACACAUAAACAAACGACAACCACUGAAUUACAGGCUCCUUACUUAAAUGUUCAUAACAUGCUAAAUGUAUGUUCAUAUUGAAAUUGAUAGAAAACCAAAAAUUAAGAAUUUUGGAAAUAAAGGAGGGAUAAAAAAAAAAAACAUUUUCCUGUCCCCAAUAACCUAUGACUUAUGAUACUUUUGCUGAAAUUCUCCAGUCAUUCAAUAUUUUACAAAAUUCUUCCAACAACACUUUACAUACUUUAAACUACACUCUGAAUGCCCGCGAUU
Molecule: long non-coding RNA, 450 nt
Filed under: Mytilus galloprovincialis (Mediterranean mussel)
Lineage: Eukaryota; Metazoa; Mollusca; Bivalvia; Mytilida; Mytilidae
Source: RNAcentral